Molecule: unclassified non-coding RNA, 229 nt
Filed under: Hevea brasiliensis (rubber tree)
Lineage: Eukaryota; Viridiplantae; Streptophyta; Magnoliopsida; Malpighiales; Euphorbiaceae
Source: RNAcentral
UGCCAAUCUAUGUUCCAUCUCAACACCCUCAGCGCCAAUUUGUCCCAAACUUCAGACUUAGAGCACAUCACAUCAAUGCUGAAUUCAGAUGUUGGACGUUUUCAGUUUCUUAUGAAAACGCUCGCACCACAGCUCAUAGCCCAUAGUAGCUACGCCAAUCGACAGUUCAUACGUUGUACCACUCUUUAUCAUUUGGUAUAUAGAUAGACAGAUCACAGAAAACCGUCAG